RNAcentral lists this ribosomal RNA (220 nucleotides) under uncultured bacterium. RNAcentral describes it as "partial 16S ribosomal RNA". It matches the Rfam family "Bacterial small subunit ribosomal RNA", at positions 524 to 745 of the family's 1533-position model. The record is from RNAcentral.
UACGUAGGGUGCAAGCGUUGUUCGGAAUUACUGGGCGUAAAGCGCGCGUAGGCGGGCUUGAAAGUUGAUUGUGAAAGCCCUGGGCUUAACCCGGGAAUGGCAGUCAAAACUACAAGUCUUGAGUGCCUGAGAGGAUGGCGGAAUUCCCGGUGUAGUAGUGAAAUGACGUAGAUAUCGGGAAGGAACACCUGAGGCGAAGGCGGCUACCUGGCCGUUGUCG